Long non-coding RNA from Zalophus californianus (California sea lion), 1162 nucleotides. RefSeq lists it as uncharacterized. NCBI's taxonomy places the organism in Eukaryota, Metazoa, Chordata, Mammalia, Carnivora, Otariidae. The transcript has 4 exons. The record is from RefSeq and is a predicted model, not a curated record.
CGCAAGAGAAAAAUCAACUUGACACCCACAAGACCCAGGACGAGAAGGACCUCGGAGGAGUACGGAGGCGGCGGCGGUGAGAGACGGCGCCAAGACGGCGGCUCGGGGCCUGCUUCCCGCCCCCGCGCUCCGACGCAACCCUCUAAACGUGACCGAGAGGGUUCCAGAGAAGAGGAAUCCGAUUGGUCAUCUUGUCUAUUUGUCCCAAGCCAUCGAUUGUCAGGAGGGCCUAUAAAUUGGAGGCUCCGGGGAGAGGUGUCUGCCGACAUCAGCCCAUCAGAAGGGACCGCGAGAUCCCAAGAUGUGUGUGAGGGCAACAGUCACAGCCUGAGACCAUGGAGUGAAAACCACAGAGUCCUUGAGGGAAUGCGAGGCUCCCGGGACUCCUGAAGCCCGGAAGGCAAUGGGAGGUGAUCUCCAAUGGGGCGCGCAGAGAAGCAGAGAAUGGGCCUCAUGGGACCUUUGGUGAAGGCAGAGGUUAAAGGCCACCAGCAGAGGGAGAGCACUUCCUCCCUCCACCAACACUUUUGGAGCACCCUCUGAGCCCUGCCCACCCUGUCCUUUCUCUCAGGCCUGGAGCCACAAGGGAAGGAAGACUGAAUCAACGCUCGGAGCAGGGGUGGCCUCGCUGCCAGGACGUUGUCAGGCCUAGCAGCGCAGCCUCGACCCGCCCCAGAGGUCCGCUGGGGAGGUCGCCGCCCAGCCCACCCCUGGCAGCUGCAGCUCUGUGACCCUGCAGGCCCCUGGGCCCCGGGUGGUGACCCACAAGACAGUCUUCCCAGGACCUAUGAUCACACUGUGCCCUGGGGUGGGCUCAGGCUGGGCACCCCUUCACCCUGGCAGAGUUGGGGCAGGGACGCUGGAGGCCGUGGAGAGCUUCAUGGUGAUGAGGUCCUCAGAGUCCGGCCAGCGUGUCUGUGUUCGUCGUGAUGUGGAACGGGCGGCCCGGUCCCUUUCCCGGAUCCCCUGUGGCCCCCGCCCUCCAGAGCUCGGCUCCUGUGGACCUGGAAAAGCCUUCUGUCCUUCCAGAGGGGGUGACCAAGGCAGAUCUCUACACAGAUCAAGCAUUCCCGGCUCUCCGAAGCUCUGGAACACAUCACCCCGCCCGUACACAGAAGAAAGUAAGCAGUACUUUUUGUACCUUGAGGACAAAAAUAAAAAC